This 330-nucleotide long non-coding RNA is filed under the name Marmota monax (woodchuck). The record is from RNAcentral. Lineage: Eukaryota; Metazoa; Chordata; Mammalia; Rodentia; Sciuridae.
UAAAGAGUCUCACUCCUGUGUCCUCUGCAGGGUCUGAUUCUUCUGAUGGGAGCACAAGUGAGAAGUUAGCUCUCCACCAGGUGGCCUGCCCCACAGGGUCCCUGCUGGCUCAGAGCCAGGUUUGCACACAGUGGGAUGUCCCUGUCCCUGGAACCUGCCCCACGAGAUCACUUUGUAGGAAGGAAGGGGGCCCAGGAGCCCUCUGUGUCCCCCACAACCAAAACCCUCCCAUGUCCUCAGGACUGCUCAAGUCCCCCUGUCUGUCCCGUCCACUCACCCAAAGAUGACUUUUCUUUCCUGUGAGCUUUACAUGUGAUUUUUUCUUUAAAG